Molecule: transfer RNA, 84 nt
Filed under: Flavobacteriales bacterium
Lineage: Bacteria; Pseudomonadati; Bacteroidota; Flavobacteriia; Flavobacteriales
Description: tRNA-Leu
Rfam family: tRNA
About the family: Transfer RNA (tRNA) molecules are approximately 80 nucleotides in length. Their secondary structure includes four short double-helical elements and three loops (D, anti-codon, and T loops). Further hydrogen bonds mediate the characteristic L-shaped molecular structure. tRNAs have two regions of fundamental functional importance: the anti-codon, which is responsible for specific mRNA codon recognition, and the 3' end, to which the tRNAs corresponding amino acid is attached (by aminoacyl-tRNA synthetases). tRNAs cope with the degeneracy of the genetic code in two manners: having more than one tRNA (with a specific anti-codon) for a particular amino acid; and 'wobble' base-pairing, i.e. permitting non-standard base-pairing at the 3rd anti-codon position.
Source: RNAcentral
GCCCAGGUGAUGAAAUUGGUAGACAUGCAGCCUUGAGGGGGCUGUGCUUUUACGAGCGUGUCGGUUCGAAUCCGGUUCUGGGCA